Molecule: transfer RNA, 83 nt
Filed under: Donghicola eburneus
Lineage: Bacteria; Pseudomonadati; Pseudomonadota; Alphaproteobacteria; Rhodobacterales; Roseobacteraceae
Also listed under: 1 other name
Description: tRNA_Leu_CAA
Rfam family: tRNA
About the family: Transfer RNA (tRNA) molecules are approximately 80 nucleotides in length. Their secondary structure includes four short double-helical elements and three loops (D, anti-codon, and T loops). Further hydrogen bonds mediate the characteristic L-shaped molecular structure. tRNAs have two regions of fundamental functional importance: the anti-codon, which is responsible for specific mRNA codon recognition, and the 3' end, to which the tRNAs corresponding amino acid is attached (by aminoacyl-tRNA synthetases). tRNAs cope with the degeneracy of the genetic code in two manners: having more than one tRNA (with a specific anti-codon) for a particular amino acid; and 'wobble' base-pairing, i.e. permitting non-standard base-pairing at the 3rd anti-codon position.
Source: RNAcentral
GCCUGAGUGGCGGAAUGGUAGACGCAGGGGAUUCAAAAUCCCCCGAUGGCAACAUCGUGUGGGUUCGAGUCCCACCUUAGGCA